RNAcentral lists this ribosomal RNA (468 nucleotides) under uncultured bacterium. Its description in RNAcentral is "partial 16S ribosomal RNA". It matches the Rfam family "Bacterial small subunit ribosomal RNA", at positions 28 to 507 of the family's 1533-position model. The record is from RNAcentral.
GACGAACGCUGGCGGCGUGCUUAACACAUGCAAGUCGAACGGAAAGGCCCUGCUUUUGUGGGGUGCUCGAGCGGCGAACGGGUGAGUAACACGUGAGUAACCUGCCCUUGACUUUGGGAUAACUUCAGGAAACUGGGGCUAAUACCGGAUAGGAGCUCCUGCUGCAUGCUGGGGGUUGGAAAGUUUCGGCGGUUGGGGAUGGACUCGCGGCUUAUCAGCUUGUUGGUGGGGUAGUGGCUUACCAAGGCUUUGACGGGUAGCCGGCCUGAGAGGGUGACCGGCCACAUUGGGACUGAGAUACGGCCCAGACUCCUACGGGAGGCAGCAGUGGGGAAUAUUGCACAAUGGGCGGAAGCCUGAUGCAGCAACGCCGCGUGCGGGAUGACGGCCUUCGGGUUGUAAACCGCUUUCGCCUGUGACGAAGCGUGAGUGACGGUAAUGGGUAAAGAAGCACCGGCUAACUACGUG